This is a long non-coding RNA of Armigeres subalbatus, 360 nucleotides long. RefSeq lists it as uncharacterized. The transcript is spliced from 2 exons. NCBI's taxonomy places the organism in Eukaryota, Metazoa, Arthropoda, Insecta, Diptera, Culicidae. The record is from RefSeq and is a predicted model, not a curated record.
UCCACCACUCCCUCGUCGUCAUGUUAGUGGAAAUUCAAAAUCAAGUACAAAAGUAAAAACAAAAACAGAAAAUUGUGAGAAACUUAAAACAUGAAUAUCGGCUGUUUUUGUCGGUUUAUUCCAUCAAACUACAGGUGUACUUUCAUCGCCACCUGUUUUUGCCAGAGGUCGGCACAAUCCGACCAUCACCUAUUGCGAUCGCUGGCUGGCGGUCAAUGAGGCUGGCCAAACAGGAGAGCUCUACGGGACAUGCAAAGUGACAACCAAAAGAUGGGGCUGAUAUUGAGGGAUAAAAUUUGUUACUAUGCCGGUCGUGGUAUGAAAGCAAGUAUGAAAUAAACAAAAUUGUUCCUUAAUAAA